AGAGUUUGAUCCUGGCUCAGAUUGAACGCUGGCGGCAUGCUUUACACAUGCAAGUCGAACGGUAACGCGGGGGCAACCCUGGCGACGAGUGGCGAACGGGUGAGUAAUACAUCGGAACAUGUCCUGGAGUGGGGGAUAGCUCGGCGAAAGCCGGAUUAAUACCGCAUAAGCUCCGAGGAGGAAAGCGGGGGACCUUCGGGCCUCGCGCUGCAGGAGUGGCCGAUGUCGGAUUAGCUAGUUGGUGAGGUAAAGGCUCACCAAGGCGACGAUCCGUAGCUGGUCUGAGAGGAUGAUCAGCCACACUGGGACUGAGACACGGCCCAGACUCCUACGGGAGGCAGCAGUGGGGAAUUUUGGACAAUGGGGGCAACCCUGAUCCAGCCAUGCCGCGUGAGUGAAGAAGGCCUUCGGGUUGUAAAGCUCUUUCGGACGGGACGAAAAGGUUAUGGUGAAUAGCCAUGACUAAUGACGGUACCGUAAU
This 481-nucleotide ribosomal RNA is filed under the name uncultured bacterium. RNAcentral's name for it is "bacterial SSU rRNA". It matches the Rfam family "Bacterial small subunit ribosomal RNA", at positions 8 to 484 of the family's 1533-position model. The record is from RNAcentral.